AGCGAACGCUGGCGGCGUACUUAACACAUGCAAGUCGAACGGGGAUCGUCGGGUUAGCAAUAAUUCGGCGGUUCUAGUGGCGCACGGGUGAGUAACACGUGGGUAACCUGCCCUUGAGUUCGGGAUACCCCCUCGAAAGGGGGCUAAUACCGGGUACGUUCCUCGGAUCGACAGGUCUGGGGAGGAAAGGUGGCGCAAGCUGCCGCUCAUGGAGGGGCUCGCGGCCUAUCAGCUAGUUGGCGGGGUAACGGCCCACCAAGGCUAUGACGGGUAGCUGGUCUGAGAGGACGACCAGUCACACGGGGACUGAGACACGGCCCCGACUCCUACGGGAGGCAGCAGUGGGGAAUUUUCCGCAAUGGGCGAAAGCCUGACGGAGUGACGCCGCGUGUGGGACGAAGGCCUUCGGUCGUAA
This 415-nucleotide ribosomal RNA is filed under the name uncultured bacterium. RNAcentral describes it as "bacterial SSU rRNA". It matches the Rfam family "Bacterial small subunit ribosomal RNA", at positions 28 to 428 of the family's 1533-position model. The record is from RNAcentral.